This 492-nucleotide ribosomal RNA is filed under the name uncultured bacterium. RNAcentral describes it as "partial 16S ribosomal RNA". It matches the Rfam family "Bacterial small subunit ribosomal RNA", at positions 29 to 507 of the family's 1533-position model. The record is from RNAcentral.
AGUGAACGCUGGCGGUAGGCCUAACACAUGCAAGUCGAACGGCAGCACAGUAAGAGCUUGCUCUUACGGGUGGCGAGUGGCGGACGGGUGAGGAAUACAUCGGAAUCUACUUUUUCGUGGGGGAUAACGUAGGGAAACUUACGCUAAUACCGCAUACGACCUACGUGUGAAAGCAGGGGAUCUUCGGACCUUGCGCGAUUGUAUGAGCCGAGGUCGGAUUAGCUAGUUGGCGGGGUAAAGGCCCACCAAGGCAACGCUCCGUAGCUGGUCUGAGAGGAUGAUCGGCCACACUGUAACUGAGAGACGGUCCAGACUCCUACGGGAGGCAGCAGUGGGGAAUAUUGGACAAAGGGCGCAAGCCUGAUCCAGCCAUACCGCGUGGGUGAAGAAGGCCUUCGGGUUGUAAAGCCCUUUUGUUGGGAAAGAAAAGCAGCAGGUUAAUACCCCGCUGUUCUGACGGUACCCAAAGAAUAAGCACCGGCUAACUUCGUG